UGAAAUCAACUUGUGGAUGCAGGUUGAUGCUGAGUGACCAGAUGCAGUUUUUCAUUAAAUAAUCACAGGUCACCUCUUCCUGAUAGUGGAGGUGUGAGCUGUUGCCAGUUGCUGUCUCUUCAUAAUAUAUCUGGGUUGAUGGAUGAACUCAUUAAUUUGGAUGAUCCUGCUGAUAAUAUGCAGCAGGAGUGAUGUAUAUUAGGAGAGUGAAAUAGAUCCAGAUGGGAAAAGACAUACUACAGAUAUUACGUUUCAGACAUCUCUCAAUGCAAUUCUAGCUAUGUAUCCACUAUGAACACUACAGAAGAAUAGUGCAGCCACUGGAAGGUUUUUAUUCAUAAGUUUAGAGCUACAAAUUGCAGAGUAUUGUGGAGUUGGAUGAUUGUCACAAUUGCUUAUUAAGGUUUGGAGAGAUUGUGCUUGAACGCAAGUGAUAAAAGCAAAGCAGAGAAAUCAAUGUUGGAAGCUUCUUGUACACAAC
Non-coding RNA from Musa acuminata subsp. malaccensis (wild Malaysian banana), 481 nucleotides. NCBI's taxonomy places the organism in Eukaryota, Viridiplantae, Streptophyta, Magnoliopsida, Zingiberales, Musaceae. The record is from RefSeq and is a predicted model, not a curated record.